GCGGGCGUAGCUCAACGGCAGAGCCCCAGCCUUCCAAGCUGGUGACGCGGGUUCGAUUCCCGUCGCCCGCUCCA
This 74-nucleotide transfer RNA is filed under the name Acidimicrobiales bacterium. Its description in RNAcentral is "tRNA-Gly". It matches the Rfam family "tRNA". From Rfam's summary of the family: Transfer RNA (tRNA) molecules are approximately 80 nucleotides in length. Their secondary structure includes four short double-helical elements and three loops (D, anti-codon, and T loops). Further hydrogen bonds mediate the characteristic L-shaped molecular structure. tRNAs have two regions of fundamental functional importance: the anti-codon, which is responsible for specific mRNA codon recognition, and the 3' end, to which the tRNAs corresponding amino acid is attached (by aminoacyl-tRNA synthetases). tRNAs cope with the degeneracy of the genetic code in two manners: having more than one tRNA (with a specific anti-codon) for a particular amino acid; and 'wobble' base-pairing, i.e. permitting non-standard base-pairing at the 3rd anti-codon position. RNAcentral also lists the same sequence under 2 other names. Lineage: Bacteria; Bacillati; Actinomycetota; Acidimicrobiia; Acidimicrobiales. The record is from RNAcentral.